UACGAAGGGGGCUAGCGUUGUUCGGAAUUACUGGGCGUAAAGGGCGCGUAGGCUGUGCUGUAAGUCAGGCGUGAAAGGCCCGGGCUCAACCUGGGAAUGGCGCUUGAUACUGCGGCGCUGGAAGGUGGGAGAGGAUGGCGGAAUUCCCAGUGUAGAGGUGAAAUUCGUAGAUAUUGGGAAGAACACCGGUGGCGAAGGCGGCCAUCUGGCCCACAUUUGACGCUGAGGCGCGAAAGCGUGGGGAGCAAACAGG
RNAcentral lists this ribosomal RNA (253 nucleotides) under uncultured bacterium. RNAcentral's name for it is "partial 16S ribosomal RNA". It matches the Rfam family "Bacterial small subunit ribosomal RNA", at positions 524 to 776 of the family's 1533-position model. The record is from RNAcentral.